GAUGAACGCUGGCGGCGUGCCUAAUACAUGCAAGUCGAGCGAACAGAUAAGGAGCUUGCUCCUUUGACGUUAGCGGCGGACGGGUGAGUAACACGUGGGUAACCUACCUAUAAGACUGGGAUAACUUCGGGAAACCGGAGCUAGUACCGGAUAAUAUUUCGAACCGCAUGGUUCGAUAGUGAAAGAUGGUUUUGCUAUCACUUAUAGAUGGACCCGCGCCGUAUUAGCUAGUUGGUAAGGUAACGGCUUACCAAGGCGACGAUACGUAGCCGACCUGAGAGGGUGAUCGGCCACCCUGGAACUGAGACACGGUCCAGACUCCUACGGGGGGCAGCAGUAGGGAAUCUUCCGCAAUGGGCGAAAGCCUGACGGAGCAACGCCGCGUGAGUGAUGAAGGUCUUCGGAUCGUAAAACUCUGUUAUUAGGGAAGAACAUACGUGUAAGUAACUGUGCACGUCUUGACGGUACCUAAUCAGAAAGCCACGGCUAACUACGUG
Molecule: ribosomal RNA, 497 nt
Filed under: uncultured bacterium
Lineage: Bacteria
Description: partial 16S ribosomal RNA
Rfam family: Bacterial small subunit ribosomal RNA
Source: RNAcentral